Molecule: non-coding RNA, 62 nt
Filed under: Paraburkholderia sacchari
Lineage: Bacteria; Pseudomonadati; Pseudomonadota; Betaproteobacteria; Burkholderiales; Burkholderiaceae
Also listed under: 1 other name
Description: Burkholderia sacchari Betaproteobacteria toxic small RNA
Rfam family: Betaproteobacteria toxic small RNA
About the family: Overexpression in amino aid rich medium attenuates growth, suggesting role in repressing amino acid intake and metabolism.
Source: Rfam by way of RNAcentral
CGUCUCCUCCAUGUCUCCUCCUGAUAUGGAUUUAGCCCGCCCACUCAGGCGGGCUUUUUCUU